RNAcentral lists this transfer RNA (77 nucleotides) under bacterium. RNAcentral's name for it is "tRNA-Asp". It matches the Rfam family "tRNA". From Rfam's summary of the family: Transfer RNA (tRNA) molecules are approximately 80 nucleotides in length. Their secondary structure includes four short double-helical elements and three loops (D, anti-codon, and T loops). The record is from RNAcentral.
GGAACAGAAGCAAAAGUGGUCGAUGCGCUGGCUUGUCAAGCCAGAGAAAGCGGGUUCAAGUCCCGUUUGUUCCGCCA